UAACGUCCUCCAUGAGAGCUCUGCUGUCCUUUGUUAAAGUUGACCUCAGUGCUAUGGAGGCACUAAGAAUAAUGCAGGGCUGCACACAAUUGUGAGUUUACACUCUGCAGAGGAGACACUCUCUGUUUGGAUCUCACCAGAGACAAGUCCGAGACCUGAUGAUCAUUCAUCAGACAGAAGGAAUUCCAAGGAUAACGCUGUACUCAUUUGGAGAUGCGACAGAGGGAUGGGCAAACGACAGAGCCAUGAUCGUUGCUAGAGAGAUGUGGUUCUCUCUCUCUCCAUCUGCUUAGAGACCCUUAGGAAGGGCCUGUGUAUCCUGGCCUGGAUGGAGUGGCGAGACUGCAUGCUGCGUUCUCCCUGUCUUUCUCGAUUGCGUCAUUGUAUGCGCCAGGGAAGGCCUUAUGCUCAUCUUGAUUUCCUGCCACAAAGAGCAGAUUUUGCUCUUCUCUUGACCUCCUCCAACACCACUAGCCUCCCACUUCUUAGCAUUUAUAAAAUGUGUCACUCGAGACAUUUCUAUGCUAAUGCAGUUGUUAACGGUGCCAGACUGGCAACAUUUCCUUUGUCUUCACAGGUGAUUUGGAGUGUUCUUCCCAAGGUAAAUACUCACGCGGAGUUGUGUUUAUUAUGCACGUGUAACACAUAGCUUUUGAGUUCUAGGCCGAUGACCUGCUAACCAACAGACAGCGAUUCAGAGUCAACUUGACUAAACGUUACAGUGAAAUUUACCAUCUCACUGACUUGCAUAAUAAGACAGCCACUUGCCAGAAAGAAAAAUAUAGACACAGCACCAUUUGAUGAUCUCAUCAGCAGCUUCCACAGGUUGUCAUUAAGUUGCUGACAGAGGUUGCAAGGCAACCCUGUUCUGGAACUUUCUUGCUCACAUUGUGUUUGAAUGCCCCCCCCCCGCCAUGUGUGUGUAUGUAUGUGUGUAUGUGUGUGCGCGCCUGUGCACGCAAGCAUGCUAAAGAAAAGUGAACUGAUGUCUGUGUGUAGAGUUGGGCUGCACAUGUGAAUGCAGGUUAUCUUUUCGGGAUGACAUCCUUGGAGAAGUCAGUGUCAUGUCUCUGUUAUUUUCCCCCACAAACCCACCCCAUAAUCAUUUGUUGACCUGCAGCUCUGCAUGCUUUAAUCGAUGUUGGCAUGCCAUGAUCAAACACAGUGUGGAUGCAUUUGGCAGGGGCUGGGGUGUGGGUACACAUGCUGCAGAAAGGACAGCUGGGCUCCGCCACCUGCCGCUCCUGCUGAUGUUGUUUGCUUGGGCCACCCCCAGCUUUGGGGAGUAUCUGGAUGUUGUAGGAGAGAAAAUGCAGACUUGGUGAAGCACUUUGACUUCUCAAGGGACCUGGCAAUUCACCUGGUGAAUUAUUCUGCUUGGAUCUCCUUUGGUUAUUUGCCUUCCCUUGAACAUUUGUUUCUCAGUCCAUCAUAAAUACUGUGAUUUUAUGGACAUGCUUUUUAGUGUCUAUCUAUCUAUCUAUCUAUCUAUCUAUCUAUCUAUCUAUCUAUCUAUCUAUUGUAUAUGGUUGUUUUGCUUGCAUAUAUGUCUGGUACUAUUUGUGAGACUGGUGCCCUGGAGGCCAGCAGAAGACCUCAGAUCUCACUAGGAUUGGCAUUACAGACUGUUGUGAGCUGCCAUGUGUGAGUAUUGGGAGCUUAACUUGGGUCCUCUGAGCAGAAGAGCAGCCAGUGCUCUUAAAAACUGAGCCAUCUUCCCAGUCUCUGUAUGCCCCAUUUGACCAUAAACCAUUCAUCAACAGCCUGGUGAAAGGCUUUGCUAAGCAAUGUGGAACAGCCAUUCACCAGAUUGGUAAGGAGAGAGAUGUGGGGUGACUCCCAAAUAUUGCUCUUUUCGGUGAAAAACUUGCCCACUUUCCACUCACGCUGUUCUGCCUUGCCUCUCUUUUGUCUCAGAGGAACCUUGUCAGAGGAGUUCAGAAAACAGAGAAUUGAGGCUUUGAUACUGACGCAGGGAGGCUUGCUCGAUGUCAUUCACAGCCCACUUCAUAACUCAAACAAACACAAGGCAGCCACAGGGAGCUUCAUCCAAGGUGUAGGGACCAUUUGGGAGGUUCCGGAUGCCACUGGAGCAUCUUUCCGUUUGGAUAAGGCAGGUACAUGGAUACUCUUCUUGAGGUCUGUAUGCCAUGUGCCAUGGGCAAUUUUUAAAAAUGUAUCUUAAGCAAUGUCGUGUUGAUAUACAUUUUCUCUGUGUGUCUGUGUGUCUCUCUCUCUUUCAUCACCCAGUCUCAUAUGUAACCUCAGCUGCCUCUGCUUCCUGGGUAAUGGAAUAACAGAUAUGGCACGCACCUUGCUUAGCUAAGUAUGUUCAGAUAAACAUUAGGCAGAGAAAAAGAUAUUCUUGGCACCUAAAGUGAACAUUUUAUGAAUUUAUUGCUACUCUUUUUUUUUUUUUGUCUGAUCCCAUGGCAAUUCUAGGAGAACAACAUUUCACUCUUCCAAAAGGCCUCCUUUGUGGUAAGGUCAAAUGAUGAAUACUUUAUUUGCUUUUAUUUCUAUUUUAUAUUUUUAAUUUAAGGUCUUAUAUGUAGUGCUGGAGCUUGCUAUAUAGCCCAGAUUGGCCCCAAACUUGAGACACUCCUCCUGCCUCUGCUUCCCCAGUACUGGGAUUACAGGCUUGUGUCACCAGAGUUGGAUUCAAAUUAAAAAAAAAAAUCGAAAUCACUGCUUUUGUAAGUAUGUCGACUCCUUCCUGCUUUGAUAGAAGCAUUAGGAUUCUGUUUCAAAUCCAUCAGUUGGCUCAGCUGAUUACUUUGAAGUCUUCAUUUAUAAGGUAACAUUGUUAUUUGCUCCUAGAAAGUAGAAGAGUACCCUGUCCCAGACAGAGAAGAAGCCGCACUCCUCACUGAUGGAGAGCAUCGUGUCUAGCAUCUAUUGAAGGCUACCGACAAGAAGUUUCUAAAGGACCACGAUUAUCCUAAAACAGUGAUCUCGAGUUACAACAUGCAAUUCAGAACACAUGUUCCAGAGAAAUGAAAUGCCUGUUAGUUUCAGAAGGAGUCCACAGGCCAAGGCUUGCAGCUUGAUACACUUAGGCUUUUGAAUACAAAAAAGAACACAGAGCUAAGCUGCCUUCUGCAUGAAGCUACUCAUUCACAACACUCGGCACCUGGCAUUGUGUGUGACUCCAGUCACUUUCCCAUUUAAAUGCAUGAAACAUAGCCAACCACUUUUGGUGCUUGUCAUUGUGCAUUUAGUAAAACAGAUCCUCAUUGAGAAUGUUCAAGAAGACCCCAAGUCUCACCUUGCCCCUGGCUUCAAUUGUGAACUAGUAGAUGGCACCUGAGGGUGUCAGAGUGGCAUGUGACUGCCUUCCUAGCAUCAUAUGGAGCUGUACAGUCUUUACUUCCACAAAUCCAACUUAUUGUGCAGUAUCUUUGGCACUGAGCUGGAUUUGAAGACCAAGUCUCCUAUUUAACUCCGUUGAGAAGACCUUGAGGUAGUCAGAUGUCCUGGUUAGGAAAUUUUGGAGACCCAGAGAAGAGAAAAAUGAAUUUUGUGGAGCCUGGAAUGGGAUUAAUAGUUCUCAUCAAAGAACCUGCUGUGUUUCAGCUUUUCUAUGCUGUGACACAGCACUGAAGCCAUUACCACAUAGGAUGAGGCUACCUGUUCUUGCACUUCUCUACCGUAACAGCUAUGGGAUCUGUGUACGGCCAUCUUCCGUAAUGGACCCUUGACCAACGCAGAGGUCCACACCUCAGGGAAGCUGUGAGCAGCUGCAAUUUUUUCGUAAGUUGAUUCAAUGGCCUUGCCACCCCUUCUCACAAUUGCUAAUAAGACACCGUUCAUCACUCUAUAAUGCACCUGUACAUUAAAGCAUCAUGGAUGCACUCCUGUUAUCAAUAAGACAAUAAAGAUAAGACGUGCGCAUCAUGACAGGUGAAAUGUCAGAAUGUGAACUUGUUAUUCUAAGAGAGCAAAGUAGCAUUUUUUUAAAGGCAACAUAUAGCCAGGUGAUGGUGGUGCAUAUCUUUAAUCCCAGCACUGGGGAGGCUGAGGCAGGUGUAAGCUACAAGAGCUAGUUCCAGGAUAGGCUCCAAAGCUACAGAGAAACCCUGUCUUGAAAAACCAAAAAACAAAGCAACAUAAACAUGUUUCAAAUAGUAUUAUUUAAGAAAGCCAGUUGAAUAGAAAAGCCAUCUUCCUCCAUGCUUGUGGGAAAACUAUAGUUGUUUGUGUGUGUGUGUGUG
Molecule: long non-coding RNA, 4214 nt
Organism: Alexandromys fortis (reed vole)
Lineage: Eukaryota; Metazoa; Chordata; Mammalia; Rodentia; Cricetidae
Exons: 7
Source: RefSeq, a predicted model, not a curated record